GACGAACGCUGGCGGCGUGGAUUAGGCAUGCAAGUCGAACGGUAUCAUCCUUUCGGGGGUGAGAGAGUGGCGAACUGGUGAGUAACACGUAGGUUAUCUACCCUCAAGACGGGGACAACCCAGGGAAACUUGGGCUAAUACCGGAUGUGAGCAACUUUUAGUUGUUUGAAAGGUGGCGUAAGCUGUCGCUUGGGGAUGAGCCUGCGUCCUAUUAGUUAGUUGGUGAGGUAACGGCUCACCUAGGCAAUGAUAGGUAGGCGGCCUUAACGGGUGGUCGCCCACACUGGGAUUGAGAUACGGCCCAGACUCCUACGGGAGGCAGCAGUCGAGAAUAGUCUACAAUGGUCGGAAGACUGAUAGUGCGACGCCGCGUGAACGAUGAAUCCCUUCGGGUGUAAAGUUCUUUUAUAUGUGAGCAGUGCUUCUUAUAUUAACAGUAUGGGGAGAGAGAUAUUAGCAUAUGAAUAAGCGACGGCUAACUCCGUGCCAGCAGCCGCGGU
RNAcentral lists this ribosomal RNA (500 nucleotides) under uncultured bacterium. Its description in RNAcentral is "bacterial SSU rRNA". It matches the Rfam family "Bacterial small subunit ribosomal RNA", at positions 28 to 521 of the family's 1533-position model. The record is from RNAcentral.